GCAAAACCACAUUCCUGCUGCUGUCAGUUAUGAUGCACUGAGAAAACUUCAGAGACCUAAACUUUUUCCAGAGAAGAGAAGCUUUACUGGUGUUCCAGCCCUAAGAAACUUAAAUCCUCAGUGUGACACAACUCAGUCCUUCUACUGCAGCAGCUCUUUUAUAAAUGCCUCCCAAAGCUCCAAGAAGGAACAAAGAAUGUGACCCAGUAAGAUCACACCAUGAGUCUAUAUUGCAGAAACCUUUGUUCAACAAAACUGCAGAUGCUCUGUUGAAUCCACUGGAGAUUGUUCUGAUACUAAGGACAAGUAUGGGAAUUUCUACUCAUCUUAAAAACAUAUAUAGAUAUUGAUCUGCGGAGAAAUAUAUCUCUGUUAUUUCAAGGAAACAUCUUUCCUGUGAAAAAUUCCCUCUCCUAGUACUUUAGUUCUGUGGAUCCAAAAUUUAUAGCAUUCUUCUACCACCACAGGGGCUCAUAUGACAUUAACAGACAAGACACUUUUCAGAAAGACAGGUAAGUCAUUUGUUAAAAUCUCAUUGUUCUUUUGGGCCACAUCUAAGAAAUCUUUGUCUAGCCAAAAGCCACAAAUAAUUUCUCAUUUUUUGGCUUCUGGAAGAUGUACAGUUAAAUGUUAUAUUUGGGACUGUUAUCUAAUUUGGUUAAAUUGCACUCUACAAUAUGGUAUUUGAAUUGAUGAAAAAUUAGUAAAUGUUAAUAUUUUUUAAAGUAGCCAAAUCUUGCAAUUUAUAUAUAAUAGAGAAGACUAGAAAAUCCCCCAUAUUUAUUUCCUCUUACUUCGUACUACUAAAAUUUGUAUUUAGGCAUUUGGUUUCUCAGAUAAACAUUACAUUCCCCAGUAUAUGGUUCUAUCUGGCUUGGUGACGACAUGUUGAACAUUAAGAUGUGAGCAGAAGUAAUACAUACACACUCUUUUUCAUGUCUUUAAUUGAAUGGGAUAUUGGCCCAUUUUUUCUUCCAGUUUAUUACACUGAAUAUUGACAUGUUAUUUUCCAAUAUUGAGACAAUCAAUGACAAGACUUUAAGAGUAACAAUGUAAAAAUACAGAAGUUGUCUGAGUUUAUCAACAAUCCCCUGGAUUAGAACCCCCUACCAGUUCUAGGUCAUCUAAUAUAUAGACAUUGUGUUCAGUAGAAAUAAAUAUAUAUAU
Molecule: long non-coding RNA, 1167 nt
Filed under: Homo sapiens (human)
Lineage: Eukaryota; Metazoa; Chordata; Mammalia; Primates; Hominidae
Description: long non-coding RNA NONHSAT155758.1
Source: RNAcentral